GAAAUGCGAUACGUAAUGUGAAUUGCAGAAUUCCGUGAAUCAUUGAAUCUUUGAACGCAACUUGCACUCAGAUCUCUCUGAGUAUGCCUGUUUGAGAAUCUUUAAAUUCUUUGACUAGUUUGGUCGAGAUUUGGGCAAUUCAUAAGUGAUUGCUUUAAUUAGAUAACUGGCCGCAGGUGCUAACGAUAGCUUGGGCCAAAGUGUAUGAAGGGUUCGCCCACGUCCUUUGGCUUUGUUAUUAGCCUGGGGAGAAGUUAGCCUAACGGCAGAGAUUUCUAGGAAUCUGAACCUCUGGUCUCAAAUCAGGUAGGAAGACCCGCUGAACUUAA
This 329-nucleotide unclassified non-coding RNA is filed under the name uncultured fungus. RNAcentral describes it as "sequence contains ITS1". The stretch from base 1 to 101 matches the Rfam family "5.8S ribosomal RNA", at positions 50 to 154 of the family's 154-position model. Lineage: Eukaryota; Fungi. The record is from RNAcentral.